RNAcentral lists this long non-coding RNA (4147 nucleotides) under Homo sapiens (human). RNAcentral describes it as "HSALNT0062231". Lineage: Eukaryota; Metazoa; Chordata; Mammalia; Primates; Hominidae. The record is from RNAcentral.
GAAACUUUUAGUCCAGACUUAAACUACCUAUGGAGGCAGGUUUAGGACAAACUUAAUUCAAUUAAACAUGUCCUUUUGAUUAUAGUCAUCUUAGAGGGCAUGAAUUGGUAUCUCAUGUGGUUUUGAUUUGUAGUUCUUUAAUGGCUGAUGCUUGAUGGUCUCUUGGCCAACCCAGCCUCUCCCCGUCUUCUUGCUUGUAGCUCUCAGAAUAACUGGUGAAUGCUCUGUGAAUGCAACACCCUGAGAUAGGGAAGGACUGCCUGAAAUACCCUGGACUUUGUUCCUAUCCUUACUAGGAAAUGUAACAUCUUGAGAUAGGGAGAAACUGUCUGGGACAGCUUGGGCUCUUUUUCCCUCCCCUAGAAACAAGAUGUCCUCAUGAUUCAUAUUCUUCUGAAGUAUAUAGCCCAGGGUGGACUGCUUCUCAAGGUAGCUCAGCUGGAGUGCAAGCUGGGAAUGCAGUCAAGGCUUCAUCCACCCCAGGCAGCUUUCCUGAGCCUUGGGAGACUGGCUCUCAAUGAAUCCAAGCUGCUUUUAUCCUUUGCUGCCUAUCUCAUUGAAGAAAAGAAACAAACAUACUGCUAAUAAAAAGAAUGUCUCCUUGUGGCUACUGAAACCCACAUGUCAACUGCUAUAGCUGUCAGCCUACCAGGAAUAACCCCUGCUUCAAACCCCAAGAAGCCCAUUUACUAUUUUAAUGACAAGAACUUGCUAAUGUGGGCAUAUGAACUGUAUCCUUGGAAAGGAAUGCCGUCCAUACCAGGAAGUCCUUGAGAAGGCUUGAGUUCUUGCCAUAACUAAAAAUCCGAUGAUGCAUUACCAAUGACUUCAUCCCCAAAUGAAAGCUAGCAGCCUGCUUCCGUAAUCCUCAUGGAGAGUUAUACCAAGAAAAGACAACUUUGGAAAAACAUGCAAGAGAGAGGCUUCAUUUUCUCUUUUGAAUAAAAGAAAGAAACCAGUCUAUGUGACUACGGAGGAGGCACCAUGCAGGCCCUGGUGUGGGGGCCUGUGUUUCUCCUACAAUGCUGACAGCUAGGGAUUUACCAGAGACUUAAAAAAUGAAAAAACUGCUAAUGGUAUAUAUAUAUAUUUUUUGGUGGGGCUUGUGAAUGAGAAAUAUGGAAACGAUUGGUCUCCCCCACAUUAGGCUUUUGCAUCCCAGCAGUUCUGACACUUCAGACUUCAUUGCACAGCCUAGUUUCCCUUUAGAAGAAGGGAACGGUCCCAUUCCAGUUGAUGGUGGCCUCGCUCCACUUGGUUCUGAUUGCCAUCUCCACUGGUGAAAACCGUCGUCUUGGUCCAUGUUUCUCUUCCUGUUGGUCUCUUUCCCAGUGAUGGGAGUGAGUAUCUGAAGAAGGAAUAGCCAGCAUUUAGACCCAAGCCUAUGAACACCAUUCCAGAGGAAACCACUAAAGAAGGACAGAAGGGUGGGUGGGCAGGAGUCAGGCUUGGAAAAUUGUGCUCCUACAACUGGUUAAGCAGAUGGGGAUUCAAGCAGGUAGUGUGUUGAAAUGCCCCAUACAGAAUGAGUCAGUGGUAGCCUGGGUUGUUGUGCAUAUUAGGACGUAGUAUGUGUGUUGAAACGCCCCAUACAGAAUGAGUCAGUGGUAACCUGGGUUGUUGUGCAUAACUGUUGAUAAGCUAUGUAAUACACCUUCCCGUACCAUGAUGUGACACCUAGAACCAGGUAUAGGUUACUAAAUAUUGUCAGGAAAAAAAAAAAAAGAGGCCAGGCAUGGUGGCUCACGCCUAUGGUCCCAGUACUUUGGGGGGCUGAGGCAGGUGGAUCAUCUGAGGUCGGGAGUUCGAGACCAGCCUGGCCAGCAUGGUGAAACCCUGUCUCUACUAAAAAUACAGAAAAUUAGCUGUGUGUGGUGGCGCGCGCCUGUAAUCCCAGCAGGAGGCUGAAGCACAAGAAUCACUUGAACCUGGGAGGUGGAAUUUGCAGUAAGCCAGGAUCACGCCACUGCACUCCAGCCUGGGCGACAGAGUGAGACUCCAUCUCCAACCAACCAACCAACCGACCCCACUUCUCCAUGCUUCUCAGAAUACAUUUGCAUUUUUGGAUGGAGGGCAAGGCUUUCUAGUGGGGUAAGCAAGAACUGGGUUUGGGGCUUGAGUUUAUCUCAUAUUAGCCAGGUGACACUUAAGAAGGUACUUAGCAUCUAUUGCUAAACUUCAUUUAUUCAAUUAGUAACUACUUGUUGGACACCAUAGUUUCCACUUCAUAAAAACAGAAAUCCUAGUACUUACCUCAUGUGACUAUUGGGAAUGUUACGGGUUAAUGCCUGUGAGGCUUUCAACACAAUGCCCAGAACAGAAAGCAAAUGAUUCUUGUGAGCUAAUGAAAAAUGUUGCUUUAUGCAAAGAAGGAAGUUGAGGUAGAAACAACAAUAUAUUUUAAGGAACAUAUUGUCAAUGUUAUACUAAAUUAAGUGGGUUAAGAUGUAUUUCUCAUAAUUAAAGAAAAAGAAUUAGGAGCUGCACAAAUAAAAUAGUCACUAGAUGCUUUUCCACAUGUAAUAAUGGAAGAUUACUUAAUGCCAGGCUUGUGGUGCAAAGUCAGACACAGUAAUGCUCCAUAAAUACAGCUAAGGCUAUGGAUACAAACUCCCAGUUUGUCCAGUGUUAAUACCUCGUCCGGGGGUCAAUGUUUAAAGACAUUUUAAGGUUGGUCUUUUUCCCUCAGGAGUUUAUGACCGAAAUGAUCUGUUCGGUUGUCUGCUUCUCCUGUUGGAUUUGAACCAUGUUUGUGGAACUUUUUGGAAUAAAAGAAACCAGUCUGUGUGACUACAGAGGAGCCACCAGGCAGACCUGUGCCGCAUUCACCAGUUUUCCCAGUGUCUAGCCCCAUGCCUGGCACAGAGUAGGCCCUCAAAAAUGCGUUUUGUGCUCAUUUGAACAGAAAUUUACUAUCAGUUUGGUUACUUAUGUCACUGGAUGAUCAUCUGAUGUUUGGUUGUGAGAUAGCAUCAGCCAAUUCUUCCCUGGGUUUUCCCAAUUAUUUCCUCAGGUAUUAGCUACCUCAUGCUCCAAAAUCAAAGGCCCCGGAGAAUGGUUUUUGGAAAUUUGGCUCCAUAACUUUUGUUUUUCUCUUACCUGAAAGUUAUUGGUUCUUCUCUGCUAUUUCUAACCCCCCUGCUCCUAGGUAAAGCAGAUUUCAAAUUCCCACAUUGCAAUACUUGGGUUUAGGGCCAUGGGAUUCAUGUGUGGGUUUCAUUUCAGAAACUGAGCCUAAGCAUUUUCCUGUGGAGCUAGCAUGAAUAUCCACACAGUUGUUAAACAUUGGCAACCGCAUCUCUUUGAGCACAUUAAAAUCCACAACACCUGGAGUCUGAAAUGCUCACCUAUUGUAAGACGCACAAGCUUUUUCUGUGAGGGUUGGCCACUGUAAAAGUACAGAUCAAAGAGACGUUCCAUUUUCCAGUCUGAUAAGAGCUGCCUGUUUGUGCAAAAAAGGAUGCUGUAAUUUCCAUUGAUGUUGCACAGCCAAAUAGGUAAUUUGGGAGUCUUCAGCAUGCUGCCCACCUGGAAAGGGGAAGGGGAAUGCAGAUAAAUAUAUAGAUUUUGCCACAUUGUGACACAUGCCGAUACAUGAUCGCGACCAAAAAGCAGCUCUGAGGUUUCUUGUUGCACUUGUCGCGUGCAGGGCACUGUACAUAGAGCAAGAUUUGAAAUCAAGGCUUCGUCAUGAAUAAAUUUGCAUUUAUGAAUGAUCUGGUAUAGUGGUGCUGCCAUUUUUAUCUUAAUGGAUUAUAUUAAAAUUUUUUUGGUGGCCUCACAGAGGAGGCAAAACAACUUCAGUUUGGCUUUGAGGCGAAGUGAAGAAUAAAUAUAUAAACUAAAAUAGGAAUGUAGUGGUGGAAUAAGAGAACUCUAAUUCUGUGUUUGUCACUGACUAGCAUAUCUGCUCCCAUUCCCAAGAUAAGGCAAUAAUUCAUUCAGCAGGUGGUGGUAAGACUUCUGGCAACAUCAACUAUUUAGAAUAUAGAAAAAAUGAUAUUUAAGAUAUAUAAAAUAGCUUCUGGAAAAUGAGGGAAACACAUACACACAUCACACAUAUACACAUAUAUCUACAGGUUAACAUGAUCAUUUGUGAAGAUGUUCCUAGACAGCAGCUUGUUAUCGGUUUUUUUCUAAGUACUUG